RNAcentral lists this transfer RNA (73 nucleotides) under Dipodomys ordii (Ord's kangaroo rat). It matches the Rfam family "tRNA". From Rfam's summary of the family: Transfer RNA (tRNA) molecules are approximately 80 nucleotides in length. Their secondary structure includes four short double-helical elements and three loops (D, anti-codon, and T loops). Further hydrogen bonds mediate the characteristic L-shaped molecular structure. tRNAs have two regions of fundamental functional importance: the anti-codon, which is responsible for specific mRNA codon recognition, and the 3' end, to which the tRNAs corresponding amino acid is attached (by aminoacyl-tRNA synthetases). tRNAs cope with the degeneracy of the genetic code in two manners: having more than one tRNA (with a specific anti-codon) for a particular amino acid; and 'wobble' base-pairing, i.e. permitting non-standard base-pairing at the 3rd anti-codon position. The record is from Rfam by way of RNAcentral. Lineage: Eukaryota; Metazoa; Chordata; Mammalia; Rodentia; Heteromyidae.
UGGGAUGUAGUUCAGUGGUAGAACAAAGGGCCUAGCAUGCACUAGGCCUUUGGUUCAAUUCCCAGCACUGCAA